This is a long non-coding RNA of Macaca mulatta (Rhesus monkey), 1688 nucleotides long. The record is from Ensembl. NCBI's taxonomy places the organism in Eukaryota, Metazoa, Chordata, Mammalia, Primates, Cercopithecidae.
UGGAGAGUGAGGCAAGUUUUGAAUGAAGCAAACUUCCAUGCUCAAGGGGUAAAGAGGGCAUAGCUAUGGAGAGCUCUAGGUGUAUAACUCUGUUUAGUGACCUCAGACAUUGCAUUGAAAGUCUAUAUAUAAAAUCUCAGCUUUUGCUAUCUGUCUAUCCCUGGGCCAGACCAUGUAGUCACGAUCACAUGAAGUAGGGGAGGCAGGCACCAUUCCCAGAGAAAAGGAUGUUUUCACCUGAAGAGAUGGGAACUGAAUACUAGGAAGAAGUUGCCAACUCUCUCCUACAACCUCACUGCUUUGCAGGGCCUAUGGGACAAGAUCGUCUUUGCUGCAAGUGGAUGGAGGCACUUUGGUCCUUUUUCAUCUUGGUGCUCUUCAAAAUACAAUCCCAUCAGGAUGCAUCCCCACCGUACCCUCAGUGCCUGGAACACCGCAUCGCACUGGAUGCUGAAUGAAGCUAUGAUACCUAUAGCAGUUACUGCCAUUUUGGACCCAUAAACUGACAAUCCUUAACCAUUACCAGGAGGGCAGAGCAGAAAGAACCUUGAUGUCAUCACUAAGCUGCUGGAUUACCUCACUCUAGAAAUACCCAACUCUGCAUGUUUGGUUAUUUUUUUAAAAAAGGUCUUCUUUAUUAUUUUCAUCAUUUUGAAUGGGCUCUAACUCUAGCUCUUAUAGUAAAAAGCAUUUGAACUGAUACAAAUAAUUAUCUCCAUAUGGUUAUUUUGAGAAUUAAAUGAGAUAACACAUAAAAUGUAUGCUUGGGACAAUGUCAUACACAACAUUCAAGAGUACAUAUUGUUAGUAUUAUUGAUGUUGUUGAUGUUAAAGCCGUUACUUCCUGUGAUGAUCUUGCAGUGCAACAGAUUUUCACUUUAGUUUGGGGCAAGAUUAUGAGGCUUGAAUAGGAAAACAUGAUGAAAGUUUUAUUUCCUACAGCCCAUUUUCUUCUUUCAGCAUGUCUUUUACUUGCUUUCAUGCCCCUUUGAGUCUCCCCAAUCAUCUAGAAAGGGGAUCUACUAGUCAUUGCAACAAAGGAGCAUAGAAUAUUUAAUAAGGCAAUUUUUAACCCAAAAGAAUAAUAUCCCAGCAUUAGAAUUCCAAAUGCAAUAUCAAGUUGUAGGUAAGAAUUUGGAGUAAGCAGGACUUCUCUAUAUCUCCAAAAUGUUAUCACACAAGCCUCUACCUGUACGUAAAGCCAAGCUUUCCAGUAUACAAUUGGGCACUAAAUUCCAGAUAGUUUUUUUUUAUCCAGCCAUGGCCUUGUAAGAAAAUAAUUCUCCUUUACUGUGUAAUUGUUAACACUGAAUAAUUAUCAAGUGGUGACCUGGACACUGCAGAUCAUUAUCUGUUGUCGGUGACAGUGCUGUUCGUUUUCAAACCAGUAAAAGAAGCUCUUUUUUCCUUUUUGUAUCCAUAAAAUUUGCGAGGGAUUUAAAACUUGGAAAAUGUGGGGUUUUCUUGCAUUUCCAAUGGACUAGAUCUUUACAAUCAUUAACUGUUCUAAAGUUGAGAAGAGCUGCUAAGUUCUUUGGAGCAUGAAAAAAGAUGGGCAUAUGCUGUAAAUUGACAUAAAAAAAGUGGCAGCUUUGAGAGUUUGCAAGAUCAUUUUUACCAGAGCUUAUAUUUGGUAUGAGAUAUCAGUAAGGCAGUUUUGUUUUGUUUUUGUUUGUUUGUUUUGUUUU